CUUUGAUAGGAGCAUGCUGUAGUUCUGGUCCCCUGACCAGGGUUAGGUGUGUGCUUAUGGCUUAAACAAGCAGAUGAAGAGGUGAGAGUGAGGAUUUCAGCCUGACCAGCAUUCAUACACUCAAAAGAUGUUUACUGAGCGCCUGCAUGCACCAGGUGCUGUGCUGAGUCCAGAACAGCGGCCUAGGCAGGAGCACCAACUCUGCCCUCUAAUGGAGGUACUGCAGGAAAUGUAAGUGAGCCAACCCGUGAAAUGACUGCACGCUGUCAAAUGCAAAUAAGAAAUCGAGCUACAGCAUUGGUGUGUGUGUGUGUGUGUGUGUGUGUGUGUGUGUGUGUGUGUGUGUGGUGGGGAGGGAAUACUUGUGAAAGGCAGAUCAAGAUGCCUUCUUGGGGAGGGGACAGUGAAGCUGAGACCCAGUGGACUGUUGGAGCCACAUGUGGUUCGUUGCCUGAAAUACGUCUCACAAAAAUGAAACUUCAAGAGUGCUUAAAUGUCAGGAAAAGCUUGUUUGGCGAGAAAAACAUGCUGGUUGGAGAAGUUAUGGAAUUUUUAGCAGAUUUGCUGUUUUUUUUCUCCAGAGAGAUAGUAAAAAGUAAGUUUUUAUGAAAUGUUUCAAGAAGUGUGUCUGUCUCCCUGACAAAAGUGCCCCCACUAGUGGCAGGGAGGUCUGGGGUUACCCAUCAGGGAUAACUGGUAAUACUUCUUUGGCUCCAGCCCUGCUCAGAAGCCUGAGGAUUCUCCGCAGCUGAGAGAUCUUGUACUGGUCUGCUUAUCAGGAUUCUGACCA
This 790-nucleotide long non-coding RNA is filed under the name Callithrix jacchus (white-tufted-ear marmoset). Its description in RNAcentral is "lncRNA (ENSCJAG00000086298.1)". Lineage: Eukaryota; Metazoa; Chordata; Mammalia; Primates; Cebidae. The record is from RNAcentral.